RNAcentral lists this ribosomal RNA (433 nucleotides) under uncultured bacterium. Its description in RNAcentral is "partial 16S ribosomal RNA". It matches the Rfam family "Bacterial small subunit ribosomal RNA", at positions 29 to 507 of the family's 1533-position model. The record is from RNAcentral.
AACGAACGCUGGCGGCAUGCCUAACACAUGCAAGUCGAACGAGACCUUCGGGUCUAGUGGCGCACGGGUGCGUAACGCGUGGGAACCUGCCCUUAGGUUCGGAAUAACUCCCCGAAAGGGGUGCUAAUACCGGAUAAUGUCUUCGGACCAAAGAUUUAUCGCCUUUGGAUGGGCCCGCGUUGGAUUAGCUAGUUGGUAGGGUAAAAGCCUACCAAGGCGACGAUCCAUAGCUGGUCUGAGAGGAUGAUCAGCCACACUGGGACUGAGACACGGCCCAGACUCCUACGGGAGGCAGCAGUGGGGAAUCUUGGACAAUGGGCGAAAGCAUGAUCCAGCAAUGCCGCGUGAGUGAUGAAGGCCUUAGGGUUGUAAAGCUCUUUUACCCGGGAUGAUAAUGACGGUACCGGGAGAAUAAGCUCCGGCUAACUCCGUG